Molecule: non-coding RNA, 308 nt
Organism: Nylanderia fulva
Lineage: Eukaryota; Metazoa; Arthropoda; Insecta; Hymenoptera; Formicidae
Source: RefSeq, a predicted model, not a curated record
UUUAGGUUCCGGAUGUGGAAUGCAGGCAACGACAAGAACAGCUUGCUAAACCGCAUAGACUUGGACUGCUAUGAUAGCACUACUGUCUACUGGUUCUAAUAAUAGUAAAGUUUUAUAAAGGAAUAAUAUCUACUUAUUUGAUAGAAUUCGAAAUCAGACAUAAAACUUUCAAGGUUACAUGUUAAUCAUCUUUCAACGUUAUAUUGCUGGAAUGGAAAAAGUAUGAAGAAAGAGCCUUUCAAAGAUUUAUUGUUAACUAAAUGCAUAAAAAAAUGUGUUCAUGCAAAUUCGAAACGGAUGACAAACAA